Molecule: ribosomal RNA, 1056 nt
Filed under: Triticum aestivum (bread wheat)
Lineage: Eukaryota; Viridiplantae; Streptophyta; Magnoliopsida; Poales; Poaceae
Description: partial small subunit ribosomal RNA
Source: RNAcentral
AUGUGGACCUGUCUUCAUCAGCGCUAUGAGCCCUCUGGUGAUGCCUUAUACCUUUCUGUGGUUCGUCAGGAGCAUGCUCUUCAGCAGGGUGACUCUACUGUUGAUGACUUUUAUGCACAGAGUUCUGCUAUCUGGCGCCAGCUUGAUUCUCUCCGCAGUGCUGGUUGUCGUACUUGCCCCUGCUGUCAGGCUGUCCAGGCCGAUUUGGAGUUUCAUCGCGUCUACGAGUUCCUGUCUCGGCUCCGUAAGGAGUUUGAGCCCCGGCGUGCUCAGUUGCUUGCUCGUGGCCGUAUUUCUCUCAUGGAGGCGCUUUCAGAGAUUCGUGCUGAGGAGACUCGCCUACGUGGUGCUGGUUUGCUGGAGGUUCCCUCUGUGCUCGCUACUCGGGUUUCUUCCACUUCGCCGGCUGCACCGCCCCAUUCUCGCUCGAGUGCUCCGCCGCUCUUGCCCACUCCUUCUGGAGGCUCAGGUCGCCCCCGUUCACAUUGUGACUACUGCAACGAUGAUGGUCAUAUUGCGUCCCAGUGCUACACCAAGCGGAAACACCUGCGCAAGGCGCGAUCAUCCUCCUCAGGGACUUCGUCAUCUCCCUCGCCAGCUUCAGCCAUUGCUUUGACUGAACAGGAUAUUCUGAGACUUAAGCGUCUGCUCGCGGCUUCAGGUUCUUCCUCGACGGGUACUGCUGGUUCUGUGACUGAUGCUUCCCGCACUGAGCACCCGCCCUCUACACAGUCAGGUACAUUCCCAUGGGUUCUGGACUCUGGAGCUUCUUUUCAUAUGUCUUCUCAUUCUUCCGCUUUGUCCUCUCUUCGCUCGCUGGAUUCUCCUGUUCAUGUCUUUACUGCUGAUGGUACUCCACUUUCUGUUGCUAGUAGAGGCCAUCUUUCCACUCCUUAUUCUGUUCCUGAUGUUGCUCAUGUUCCUCGACUUACCAUGAAUCUGUUUUCUGCCGGUCAACUUACUGAUUCUGGUUGUCGUGUCAUCCUUGAUGUUGACUUGUUCUGUCCAGGAUCGUCGCACGCACACUCUGGUUGGGGCUGGCCCUCGCCGCCGUGA